UACGGGGGGAGCAAGCGUUGCUCGGAUUUACUGGGCGUAAAGGGCGCGUAGGCGGCGCAACAAGUCACUUGUGAAAUCUCCGGGCUUAACCCGGAGCGGCCAAGUGAUACUGUCGUGCUAGAGUGCGGAAGGGGCUACUGGAAUUCUCGGUGUAGCGGUGAAAUGCGUAGAUAUCGAGAGGAACACCUGCGGCGAAGGCGGGUAGCUGGGCCGACACUGACGCUGAGGCGCGAAAGCGUGGGGAGCAAACAGG
This 253-nucleotide ribosomal RNA is filed under the name uncultured bacterium. RNAcentral describes it as "partial 16S ribosomal RNA". It matches the Rfam family "Bacterial small subunit ribosomal RNA", at positions 524 to 776 of the family's 1533-position model. The record is from RNAcentral.